GAAGAAGUUCUUGUCCUAACGGAGAAAGGUCUCUUUUACCGGAAAGAAUAGUUUCUGGCGGUCUUUCACCUAUCUAGAGGGUUAUGCGUUUGAAAAUGAAACUGCACAAUAAAUCGCUCCUUUUUUUGAAUAAAAGCAUCCUACCCACCACUGUCGGAAGGUGGGUAUAGUGAUUACCCCCUAUUUCCAAAGGGAAAUAAGGCAAGUAAACGUGUAGACUAUAAAAAGGGAGAAGGUGUAAUCCAAUCGCUCUGUUUUAACUCUUCUCCUGAAAGAGGAAAAGGAAGAGAAUUUAGGAGUAAGAGGGGGAGAGGAAACCCCUCUGAAUGGAAAGCUCUGGAAGACGU
Molecule: ribosomal RNA, 347 nt
Filed under: Quadraceps strepsilaris
Lineage: Eukaryota; Metazoa; Arthropoda; Insecta; Psocodea; Philopteridae
Description: partial 12S ribosomal RNA
Source: RNAcentral